Xenopus laevis (African clawed frog) is the source of this 1029-nucleotide long non-coding RNA. RefSeq lists it as uncharacterized. The record is from RefSeq and is a predicted model, not a curated record. The transcript is spliced from 3 exons. Lineage: Eukaryota; Metazoa; Chordata; Amphibia; Anura; Pipidae.
UGUGUGAGUACAGCCCCCUUCACAAUAAUUGAGUGCGUCUACUCCUGCGCUCCCCUGAGGCUGAACAGAAGAAACCGCAACGCAGGGAAGUGCAGGAAAAACUGCCCGUGUGUAAGUGUUAAGGAUUGAUGCAAUGAUGGAGCAACUCUGUCCCUUUAAAACGGAACACCAAUAAACUCCAGGUGGUGCUAGUUUUUAAUCAGAUGCACAUUGCAGAGCUGCAUAGAAACCAGAGCAGCCAGCAGUAUACAACAGGUUUAAAGAGUAACAUAUUAUAGACAAUUGCUUUUAAACUGAAUGAUUGCAAAAAAAGCAAUGGAUCAUACUUUGACCCGAUACCAGUGGGUUCCCUGGCACAGCAAGCAUAUAAGAUACUUACAGCACAGAGAUUUGAUGGACAUCGUAUGCUGGCAGUUCUCGGUGACAAUGAAAGAACGCAUGCAGAUGACAAAGAGGUUCCCAAAACAGGUGACACAGGCCAUCACCCACACAAAGACACGGAGCAAGAUGUUGGCCAGAAGGUUCUCAAAGGAAGAGAUGCCAUCACUUUUGGGAUUACAGCUGCGCACGUGAGGAGCAUAACUGCAGUACUGGAACUUUUUAAAAUAGCUUUGGGAAGAGAAGUACAAAAUUUGUUAAAGGAAAGUCUUGAAGAACACAUAGGGAAAAACACAAAGUAUGCUGAUACUAGAGCAGAUUUUCAAUUUCUGGGUGCUUAUGGCUGUACACCUAACAGGCAAAUCCAUGGAUGCUGCUCUUACCAUACAGAAUGGUAUAUCUGCUUGUACCCUGUCUGCCCAUUAAAGGUAACGUUCAAUGUUCAUUACUAUUCUAUUAUAUCGUAAUCUUCUAAUUCUACUUCUGCUAAUCUUCAAAUCUCUCUGGCAUUGGAACUGAGAAGAGGCAUGCUUUCUCUUGAUCCAGACCCUGUCUACUACAGUUUUUCUUUUCCUUUUUUACAAAGACAAAUGUAAAAAAAUAUAUAGUCCAUUAAUUAAUUGCCUAGAGGAUCCCUUUUCAAUACACAUA